RNAcentral lists this ribosomal RNA (25 nucleotides) under Aricia morronensis. Its description in RNAcentral is "partial 28S ribosomal RNA". Lineage: Eukaryota; Metazoa; Arthropoda; Insecta; Lepidoptera; Lycaenidae. The record is from RNAcentral.
UGGCCUCAGAUCANGGAGGAUCACC